UACGUAGGUGGCAAGCGUUGUCCGGAUUUAUUGGGCGUAAAGCGCGCGCAGGCGGCUUGAUAAGUUUCAGGUGAAAUCUCCCGGCUCAACCGGGAGGGUGCCUGGAAAACUAUCAGGCUUGAGUCAUGGAGAGGGAUGUGGAAUUCCCGGUGUAGUGGUGAAAUGCGUAGAUAUCGGGAGGAACACCAGUGGCGAAGGCGGCAUCCUGGCCAUGUACUGACGCUCAGGGGCGAAAGCGUGGGGAGCAAACCGG
Molecule: ribosomal RNA, 253 nt
Filed under: uncultured bacterium
Lineage: Bacteria
Description: partial 16S ribosomal RNA
Rfam family: Bacterial small subunit ribosomal RNA
Source: RNAcentral